UAGGGAAUCUUCGGCAAUGGACGAAAGUCUGACCGAGCAACGCCGCGUGAGUGAAGAAGGUUUUCGGAUCGUAAAACUCUGUUGUUAGAGAAGAACAAGGACGUUAGUAACUGAACGUCCCCUGACGGUAUCUAACCAGAAAGCCACGGCUAACUACGUGCCAGCAGCCGCGGUAAUACGUAGGUGGCAAGCGUUGUCCGGAUUUAUUGGGCGUAAAGCGAGCGCAGGCGGUUUCUUAAGUCUGAUGUGAAAGCCCCCGUCUCAACCGGGGAGGGUCAUUGGAAACUGGGAGACUUGAGUGCAGAAGAGGAGAGUGGAAUUCCAUGUGUAGCGGUGAAAUGCGUAGAGAUGUGGAGGAAUACCGGUGGCGAAGGCGGCCCCCUGGACAAAGACUGACGCUCAGGUGCGAAAGCGUGGGGAGCAAACAGG
RNAcentral lists this ribosomal RNA (429 nucleotides) under Chloroflexota bacterium. RNAcentral's name for it is "Chloroflexi bacterium partial 16S ribosomal RNA". It matches the Rfam family "Bacterial small subunit ribosomal RNA", at positions 355 to 776 of the family's 1533-position model. The record is from RNAcentral. Lineage: Bacteria; Bacillati; Chloroflexota.